GUGACUGCGUACCUUUUGUAUAAUGGGUCAGCGACUUAUAUUCUGUAGCAAGGUUAACCGCAUAGGGGAGCCGGAGGGAAACCGAGUCUUAACUGGGCGUUAAGUUGCAGGGUAUAGACCCGAAACCCGGUGAUCUAGCCAUGGGCAGGUUGAAGGUUGGGUAACACUAACUGGAGGACCGAACCGACUAAUGUUGAAAAAUUAGCGGAUGACCUGUGGCUGGGGGUGAAAGGCCAAUCAAACCGGGAGAUAGCUGGUUCUCCCCGAAAGCUAUUUAGGUAGCGCCUCGUGAAUUCAUCUCCGGGGGUAGAGCACUGUUUCGGCUAGGGGGCCAUCCCGGCUUACCAACCCGAUGCAAACUGCGAAUACCGGAGAAUGUUAUCACGGGAGACACACGGCGGGUGCUAACGUCCGUCGUGAAGAGGGAAACAACCCAGACCGCCAGCUAAGGUCCCAAAGUCAUGGUUAAGUGGGAAACGAUGUGGGAAGGCCCAGACAGCCAGGAUGUUGGCUUAGAAGCAGCCAUCAUUUAAAGAAAGCGUAAUAGCUCACUGGUCGAGUCGGCCUGCGCGGAAGAUGUAACGGGGCUAAACCAUGCACCGAAGCUGCGGCAGCGACGCUGAUGCGUUGUUGGGUAGGGGAGCGUUCUGUAAGCCUGUGAAGGUGGCCUGUGAGGGUUGCUGGAGGUAUCAGAAGUGCGAAUGCUGACAUAAGUAACGAUAAAGCGGGUGAAAAGCCCGCUCGCCGGAAGACCAAGGGUUCCUGUCCAACGUUAAUCGGGGCAGGGUGAGUCGACCCCUAAGGCGAGGCCGAAAGGCGUAGUCGAUGGGAAACGGGUUAAUAUUCCCGUACUUGGUGUUACUGCGAAGGGGGGACGGAGAAGGCUAUGUUGGCCGGGCGACGGUUGUCCCGGUUUAAGCGUGUAGGUGUGUGUUCCAGGUAAAUCCGGUUCACUUUAACACUGAGGCGUGAUGACGAGGCACUACGGUGCUGAAGCAACAAAUGCCCUGCUUCCAGGAAAAGCCUCUAAGCAUCAGGUAACAUCAAAUCGUACCCCAAACCGACACAGGUGGUCAGGUAGAGAAUACCAAGGCGCUUGAGAGAACUCGGGUGAAGGAACUAGGCAAAAUGGUGCCGUAACUUCGGGAGAAGGCACGCUGACACGUAGGUGAAGUGAUUUACUCACGGAGCUGAAGUCAGUCGAAGAUACCAGCUGGCUGCAACUGUUUAUUAAAAACACAGCACUGUGCAAACACGAAAGUGGACGUAUACGGUGUGACGCCUGCCCGGUGCCGGAAGGUUAAUUGAUGGGGUCAGCGCAAGCGAAGCUCCUGAUCGAAGCCCCGGUAAACGGCGGCCGUAACUAUAACGGUCCUAAGGUAGCGAAAUUCCUUGUCGGGUAAGUUCCGACCUGCACGAAUGGCGUAAUGAUGGCCAGGCUGUCUCCACCCGAGACUCAGUGAAAUUGAACUCGCUGUGAAGAUGCAGUGUACCCGCGGCAAGACGGAAAGACCCCGUGAACCUUUACUAUAGCUUGACACUGAACAUUGAGCCUUGAUGUGUAGGAUAGGUGGGAGGCUUUGAAGUGUGGACGCCAGUCUGCAUGGAGCCGACCUUGAAAUACCACCCUUUAAUGUUUGAUGUUCUAACGUGGACCCGUGAUCCGGGUUGCGGACAGUGUCUGGUGGGUAGUUUGACUGGGGCGGUCUCCUCCUAAAGAGUAACGGAGGAGCACGAAGGUUGGCUAAUCCUGGUCGGACAUCAGGAGGUUAGUGCAAUGGCAUAAGCCAGCUUGACUGCGAGCGUGACGGCGCGAGCAGGUGCGAAAGCAGGUCAUAGUGAUCCGGUGGUUCUGAAUGGAAGGGCCAUCGCUCAACGGAUAAAAGGUACUCCGGGGAUAACAGGCUGAUACCGCCCAAGAGUUCAUAUCGACGGCGGUGUUUGGCACCUCGAUGUCGGCUCAUCACAUCCUGGGGCUGAAGUAGGUCCCAAGGGUAUGGCUGUUCGCCAUUUAAAGUGGUACGCGAGCUGGGUUUAGAACGUCGUGAGACAGUUCGGUCCCUAUCUGCCGUGGGCGCUGGAGAACUGAGGGGGGCUGCUCCUAGUACGAGAGGACCGGAGUGGACGCAUCACUGGUGUUCGGGUUGUCAUGCCAAUGGCACUGCCCGGUAGCUAAAUGCGGAAGAGAUAAGUGCUGAAAGCAUCUAAGCACGAAACUUGCCCCGAGAUGAGUUCUCCCUGAGACUU
This 2247-nucleotide ribosomal RNA is filed under the name Salmonella enterica. Its description in RNAcentral is "bacterial LSU rRNA". It matches the Rfam family "Bacterial large subunit ribosomal RNA", at positions 593 to 2823 of the family's 2925-position model. The record is from RNAcentral. Lineage: Bacteria; Pseudomonadati; Pseudomonadota; Gammaproteobacteria; Enterobacterales; Enterobacteriaceae.